RNAcentral lists this ribosomal RNA (386 nucleotides) under uncultured bacterium. RNAcentral describes it as "bacterial SSU rRNA". It matches the Rfam family "Bacterial small subunit ribosomal RNA", at positions 128 to 507 of the family's 1533-position model. The record is from RNAcentral.
GCCCAGUCGUGGGGGAUAACGUAGCGAAAGCUAGCUAAUACCGCAUACGAUCUAUGGAUGAAANCGGGGGAUCGCAAGACCUCGCGCGAUUGGAGCGGCCGAUAUCAGAUUAGGUAGUUGGUGAGGUAAAGGCUCACCAAGCCGACGAUCUGUAGCUGGUCUGAGAGGACGACCAGCCACACUGGGACUGAGACACGGCCCCAGACUCCUACGGGAGGCAGCAGUGGGGGAAUUUUUGGACAAUGGGCGCAAGCCUGAUCCAGCAAUGCCGCGUGCAGGAUGAAGGCCUUCGGGUUGUAAACUGCUUUUGUACGGAACGAAACGGUGAGCUCUAAUACAGUUUGCUAAUGACGGUACCGUAAGAAUAAGCACCGGCUAACUACGUG